This is a long non-coding RNA of Carassius carassius (crucian carp), 1070 nucleotides long. RefSeq lists it as uncharacterized. Lineage: Eukaryota; Metazoa; Chordata; Actinopteri; Cypriniformes; Cyprinidae. The transcript is spliced from 4 exons. The record is from RefSeq and is a predicted model, not a curated record.
CCGUUUUAACCCAGCGGGGCUGGGUUGAGAACGCGGACGUGAAGGAGAGCACGCACGUCACGUCAAGAUCGUACGUCUCCAGUGUGAGCAGCCGCCAUUUUCUCAGCGUGAAAGAAGCGAGAAGCGAGUGAAAGACUAUGACUUGUCCAGCUCGUGUCUUCAUUGUGUCAGUGCUGUGCGCCGAGAGUUAAAGACACAGAAGCUGUUUGUGUGCGAGUCUCAGACUGUGAGGAGGAGGAUGUGUUCUUCUGAAGAGAGGGACAGACGGUUUAAGGAGAGUGAACUUCAGAAUAACAUCAAGUUAUCUUUAUUUUUACUAAGACUAAAAUAAUGUUUGUUUUUGUAGAUGUUGAAAUCCAGAGACAAGAUAACUUCAUUCUUUUGAGACCGAUAACUCAAACUAACUGGAGUUAAGGACACAGAAGUCUGCUUGUGUGAGGAGGAGGUUUUCUCAGCUUCUUCUGAAGAGAGGGAAAGAUAGUUUAAGGCAAGUAAACUUCAUAAUUUCAUGUUAUCAGUUAUUGUUGUUUUUUACUAAGAGUAAAAUAAUGUUUGUUUUUUGUUUUUGUAGAUGUUAAAAGCCAGAGACAUGGGAGAGCAUCAUUCUUUUGAGAUUUUAUGUAAGUUAUUUUUAGAAAAUAAAUGUUUCUGUUGUCUCCUGCCGGUUUACUUCACAUUUUGAUGCAACAACAGUGUGAUUACGUGCUCAUUUCAUUAAAACCAUUGAUGUCUUUGUUUUUCAUUGCAGAACUCAAACUUUGGAGUGUGUUGUCUGAUUUGGAGAGUCAUCAUUCUUGGUCUUCCCUCUUAAAGGCCACUGAUGAAGAACAGGCGGUGACUGGAUGAAUGCUGGUCAAAGAAGAGAAGGUCCUUUCCCCUAAACUGAUGCAGCAGUGGUUUUAAAGGAGGACGCUGCCCAUGAUGAUGUAGAAGAUGUCACAUGCUGUGCUGAUGGGGCUUCUUCAUGACUACAUCAAUUAUUAUGAAGAGAUUAUUAAAAUUGACCGUGAUGCAUGAUCUGUAUUCAUGGACUAUGAAACAAUCUCUAAGUGUAUAAUUUGUAAAAACAA